Molecule: transfer RNA, 68 nt
Filed under: Marmota monax (woodchuck)
Lineage: Eukaryota; Metazoa; Chordata; Mammalia; Rodentia; Sciuridae
Description: tRNA.Ala
Source: RNAcentral
GGCCUGUAGCUCAGUGGUAGAGUGCCUGCCUUGCGUGUUUGAGGCACUGGGUUCGAUCCUCAGUACCA